AGAUUUUUAACCUUAUUAAUUAUCAAGAUUUGUACACAAACAAUGUAGAUUAAAGUCUUUCCUGCUUGAAAAAGUCCGUAUUGAAAAAAUUUGUUCGAGAUUGAUGGAAAUGCCAAAAACAGCCGAAAAAUUAUAGACAGUAAGUUGGAACAGAAGACAAAAGCAAUGACACACAAGAACACAACAAAACAAACCAUUCCAUAAGCCGUCUCUACAGUAUCUGUCAAAUUUACAGCAACGUUUGUUUAUUGGAUGUACCAAAGUCACCAUUCAAUUUGACUUUUUCUGCUUUCCAUCUCAAUAUUGGAAAGAUUUGGAUCAAA
This 323-nucleotide long non-coding RNA is filed under the name Nicotiana benthamiana. RNAcentral's name for it is "long non-coding RNA (NBEN_LNC027104)". Lineage: Eukaryota; Viridiplantae; Streptophyta; Magnoliopsida; Solanales; Solanaceae. The record is from RNAcentral.